This 64-nucleotide transfer RNA is filed under the name Eupeodes luniger. RNAcentral's name for it is "tRNA-Arg". RNAcentral also lists the same sequence under 1 other name. The record is from RNAcentral. Lineage: Eukaryota; Metazoa; Arthropoda; Insecta; Diptera; Syrphidae.
GAAUAUGAAACGAUAUAUUGUAAUUAGUUUCGACCUAAUUUUAGGUAUUUGAUACCCUUAUUCU